This 193-nucleotide unclassified non-coding RNA is filed under the name Tuberculina sp. RNAcentral describes it as "partial contains small subunit ribosomal RNA, internal transcribed spacer 1, and 5.8S ribosomal RNA". The stretch from base 1 to 46 matches the Rfam family "Eukaryotic small subunit ribosomal RNA", at positions 1786 to 1831 of the family's 1831-position model. Lineage: Eukaryota; Fungi; Basidiomycota; Pucciniomycetes; Helicobasidiales; Helicobasidiaceae. The record is from RNAcentral.
AAGUCGUAACAAGGUUUCCGUAGGUGAACCUGCGGAAGGAUCAUUAUUGAAGAAUAAGAGUGCGCUUAAUUGCGGCUCGACCCUUCACAUCCCACACCCUGUGAAUUGUAACACCCUUAUUAGACCCUAACAGUCGGAGAAUGUAAAUAAUAGUAAAGUAAUAAAACUUUUAACAACGGAUCUCUUGGCUCUC